RNAcentral lists this ribosomal RNA (504 nucleotides) under uncultured bacterium. RNAcentral's name for it is "bacterial SSU rRNA". It matches the Rfam family "Bacterial small subunit ribosomal RNA", at positions 19 to 518 of the family's 1533-position model. The record is from RNAcentral.
CUGGCUCAGGAUGAACGCUGGCGGCGUGCCUAAUACAUGCAAGUCGAACGAGGUAGCAAUACCGAGUGGCGAACGGGUGAGUAACACGUAGGUAACCUGCCCUUAAGCUUGGGAUACCCAGAGGAAACUUGGCUAAUACCGGAUAACAACAGAGAAGGCAUCUUCUUUGCUUGAAAGGCCCCUUCAAGGGUCACUUAAGGAUGGACCUGCGGCGCAUUAGCUAGUUGGUGAGAUAACAGCCCACCAAGGCGAGGAUGCGUAGCCGAACUGAGAGGUUGAUCGGCCACAUUGGAACUGAGACACGGUCCAAACUCCUACGGGAGGCAGCAGUAAGGAGUUUUCGGCAAUGGGGGAAACCCUGACCGAGCAACGCCGCGUGAGCGAUGACGGCCCUAUGGGUUGUAAAAAGCUCUGUUGUAAGCCAUGAAUGAUAGCUUGAGGAAAUGCAAGCUAUUUGACGACAGCUUACCAGAAAGCCACGGCUAACUACGUGCCAGCAGCCGC